This 495-nucleotide unclassified non-coding RNA is filed under the name Hevea brasiliensis (rubber tree). The record is from RNAcentral. Lineage: Eukaryota; Viridiplantae; Streptophyta; Magnoliopsida; Malpighiales; Euphorbiaceae.
UGCUCUUGUUGAGAAAUGAUGAUGCUGAAGUUGAUGAAAGGAACAAAUUUUAUGUGCUCUUGUUGAGAUGGGUACAUUUUUAUCAUUAUUGUUCACCAACUCCAGCCUGCCGUUGUCGUUGAGUCGCUGCUUUCACUUGGGAUCCAAGUCUGCUGUCAUCACCAUCACCAAUUCACCUUCCUUUUUGCGCUUCUCUAAGCGCCCCUGACCAUGAACCUCUCCCUUAAACCCUUUAUUGGAUCUCCCUCGCAGAUCCUUCUUCAAUUUCUCUACUAUCGUUUUAUCUCCCUCCUCCUCUCCCUUUCCCAUGGACCCUACCUCUCGCCCUGCUGUUGUCAUCGACAACGGAACCGGGUAUACUAAGAUGGGUUUUGCUGGAAAUGUAGAGCCGUGUUUUAUUUUGCCAACUGUAGUAGCUGUAAACGAUUCGUUUCUAAAUCAAUCCAGAACUUCAAAAGCGAAUUGGCUUGCGCAGCAUAGCGCGGGGGUCAUGGC